ACGGGGUCAAGAAAAUGCACUUUAAAAUAAAAACAACAGAAAUGUCGUUCUUUUAUCAAAAGAUUUUGUAAAUCUACACGUCAAAGCGUGCAUUUUACAGUUCGUGUAACGUUAUAGGAUUUUCCGGUUGCUUCCAUUUACGGUUUGGGAACGUUUGUAUCCGUACAGCUAUAGAAUUUUCCGACACGUUCUAUUCAGGCCAUUUGGUGCCGAGUUCGAAUAGGCGGUAAGCGCGAGCCCAGGCACUGUCAGGCCCACUCACAUGACUGUCAGAGAGUAAUAGGCCGCGAUUCGAGCUAAGCUGGUCAAACCGUACACCCCUAAAACAACAUUAAUAGCGACUCUGCAUGGCUGACCGCGUCGCCCGAAUUGUAUUACCAAAGUAUUCGGGUUUGUACGAGAAAUGGGCAGCGGUGAAGUUUUGUGAGAUUUGGCCGUCCAUCAUGGCGGACAGGAAAUAACAGAACAAGCUUAAGCUACGAGCAGGAACAUUCCACAGGAGCCGGUUCAUGUUGCUGUGGCAGCAACGGGGCAGAGCUAACAGGCUAUUCUGGAUCUCUGACGGCCGCGUUCCUUUUAAAAACGAGCCAAACUGAGAGAUGGAACAGAAGCAGCCAGUGCUGUGAGUCAGGGGACGAAGAGAAAGAUCAGCCCAAGCCCAUCCUCCUCUGACAAGACACAACACCCAUCUUUAACAUAACCUCAUCAAACCUCUAACAAGCUAACAAGGGUGAGUGCAGAUCAGGAGGCAUGUGUCAACAAUGAACUGUUUUACUCUUUUUACAAGGGACAAGGAGGUUCCAGACAUUUCCAUUACACCGUUACAUGUGCCCGCAGCGAUCACAGCAUAUCGUUUGGGAACCCCCUAUACUGUAAAUGCAGUAUAGCUAAUCAAAACAGACUAAGAAAGGCUGGAAGCCUUGCUAAGCCUUUUGUUGUAUUGAAAUGAAUGCACUUAGCCAAAGGAAGGAUUUUGAUGUUAUUUUGUAUUUCUUGUACCGUUAAAGCUUCAAGAAUGUAUAUGAGCAUGCUUGACAUGAUGUUGUAAAUGCAUUUUUCCAGCCUUGAUCCUGCAGAAAGAAUUGCAAUUAGUUGAGAGCGGA
This 1103-nucleotide long non-coding RNA is filed under the name Sinocyclocheilus anshuiensis. RNAcentral describes it as "lncRNA (ENSSANG00000002518.1)". Lineage: Eukaryota; Metazoa; Chordata; Actinopteri; Cypriniformes; Cyprinidae. The record is from RNAcentral.